UUAAGCUAUAUUUAAGCUAGGUUAGCACCACAGACCGUAGGCUACAGGUGGUAAGAUAUGUUGUAUUUUGUUAGAAACUGAUAGUCUGCAAUGUGAUUCAUGUCUGCUUUUCUAAUAUAUUUAACUGAACAGUAAAUCAAUUGUUUUUGUAUUUUCAUUUAGGCAAAGAAGAGAUAAAAGCAGCUGGUCUGACAUCUUCCACAGAGGUGAAGCAGGUCAGGCUGGGGUCACAUAGUUUGAAGGAACCUCCUCCUUCUUUCACCUGUGCCAGAUGCCCUGCUCAUCCACUGUGGUAGAAAUGACCUUACACCAGCAGCUCUCCCAGAUGAAGAGUCCUCUCUGCCAUCACCCAGAGGAGCUGAUCAACGUCUGCACAACUGAAGAAGGUGGACAGAGUCUGGAGCUUUGUGACAGUGAACAGUGAGAAGGCUACCAUAGUCAUCCUCAGAUAAAACACAGAGAUCCUGGUCAAUAUUCAAUGCUGCUAUUUUUCUUUACAUGAUGUUGCCCCAUGUUUGAAAGGCCAGAUGCUGGAGGGUUGUGUUGGAUUUGCUUUUCCAUCAUAUUUUAACAGUCAAACAAUCAUCCAGGAUCUUUAUACUUUAUUUGAUUUUUGUUUGGAUUUCUUUUUAUACUUUCUCCUAUGUCCCAGCAAUUCAACCUGAUGGUCUCCCUUACUUAUUUUCCACAUGGUUAAUGAAGCCAGGUGUUGUUUAUUUAAGUUUUUUUUUUUCAUAAAAUGUUUAAAUAAACUUUUUUUAAAUCUGAAUUGACUGUCUCUGAUUAACUGGAGCACUACAAAGUGUUGGUCACAGUAAAAUAAUUUAGCAGU
Long non-coding RNA from Labrus mixtus (cuckoo wrasse), 832 nucleotides. RefSeq lists it as uncharacterized. The transcript has 3 exons. Lineage: Eukaryota; Metazoa; Chordata; Actinopteri; Labriformes; Labridae. The record is from RefSeq and is a predicted model, not a curated record.